AUACUUACCGGGCAGGGGAGAUACCAAGAUCGCGAAGGUGGUUUUUGCAGGACGAGGCUCAUCCAAUGCUCUCCAGAUGUGCUGAUUCCCCCGAUUUCCCCAAAUGUGGGGAACUUGACUGCUUUAUUUGUGCUAGUGGGGGACUGCACUUGCACUCUCCCC
Small nuclear RNA from Dipodomys ordii (Ord's kangaroo rat), 162 nucleotides. Its record names the gene U1. It matches the Rfam family "U1 spliceosomal RNA". Rfam says of the family: U1 is a small nuclear RNA (snRNA) component of the spliceosome (involved in pre-mRNA splicing). Its 5' end forms complementary base pairs with the 5' splice junction, thus defining the 5' donor site of an intron. There are significant differences in sequence and secondary structure between metazoan and yeast U1 snRNAs, the latter being much longer (568 nucleotides as compared to 164 nucleotides in human). Lineage: Eukaryota; Metazoa; Chordata; Mammalia; Rodentia; Heteromyidae. The record is from Ensembl.